CCUACGGGGCGCAGCAGUGAGGAAUAUUGGUCAAUGGGCGGAAACCUGAACCAGCCAAGUAGCGUGCAGGAUGACGGCCCUACGGGUUGUCAACUGCUUUUAUACGGGAAUAACGCGCCUUACGUGUAGGUCUUUUCAUGUACCGUAUGAAUAAGGACCGGCUAAUUCCGUGCCAGCAGCCGCGGUAAUACGGAAGGUCCGGGCUUUAUCCGGAUUUAUUGGGUUUAAAGGGAGCGUAGGCCGCAUGUCAAGCGUGCUGUGAAAUGUCCGGGCUCAACCCGGGCCUUGCAGCGAGAACUGGCGUGCGUGAGUCCGCGGAAAGCAGGCGGAAUUCGUCGAGUAGCGGUGAAAUGCUUAGAUAUGACGAAGAACCCCGAUUGCGAAGGCAGCUUGCUGCAGCGGAACUGACGCUGAUGCUCGAAAGCGCGGGUAUCGAACAGGAUUAGAUACCCGUGUAGUC
RNAcentral lists this ribosomal RNA (460 nucleotides) under uncultured bacterium. RNAcentral's name for it is "partial 16S ribosomal RNA". It matches the Rfam family "Bacterial small subunit ribosomal RNA", at positions 338 to 795 of the family's 1533-position model. The record is from RNAcentral.